Molecule: non-coding RNA, 20663 nt
Organism: Equus caballus (horse)
Lineage: Eukaryota; Metazoa; Chordata; Mammalia; Perissodactyla; Equidae
Source: RefSeq, a predicted model, not a curated record
GGCGAGGGCGCAGGGCGCGCGGGGCGGGCGCACGUCUCGGACGGUGAUCCCCGCCCGCCGGCGGGCCAGGCAGUCCUGCCACCCGGCGGCCCGGCCAGCCCCGAGCCGAGUGGGGGCGGAGCCGCCCGCGGCCACCACUUCCUGAGAGCCGGGGAUACCCCUCCCGAACGUCACGGAGGAGCCGAGGCGGCGGUGGCGGCCCGGGGCUCAUCCUGCACUUGCAUCACGGGUGCAGCAGCAGCUGCUCUGCUCCUUUGUGGCUUUUUCCCCUGUUGAGUAACUGCUUUGUUAACUGAAAAUACCAUGACGGGCCAGUGUGAUCACCAGCUCCAGACCUCAAAGAAAGUGAAGCUGUCAGGCAAGAAGAGGGAGACUCCCCUAGCCGGGUGCGAUGGUAUCUGGUGGGUGGGUGUGUAGAGAAGCACUUGACAGUUUCCACGUAUUACUUCUUGCCCAAUGCUUCACCCCCAAGAAGGUUUAAAAAUACUUUUAUUUCCAUGCUGUAAAAAUUUCGUGUGUUCUGCACCUCACCCAUUCCCCCUUCAACUUGAGUUCUCAUGCAGAAUUGGAAUCAGUGUAAAGCAGGAACCCUAAAUUUAGGUACCGUUUUUAGGAAACAGGACAUCUUUCAAUGAAUUUGUUGAAUAAGCGACAUUUUCUAAAUGUUAGUAUAUAAAAGGUCCUUGCCCACUCAAGGUACUUCUAAGGUCCUUGCCCACAAGGUGCUAUGAAGUUCCUAGCCUAGUUUGUUCAUAUGAACUGGGGUCCCUCAGUGACACUUUUAGAUUCAUAUCCUUGUUUACCUUAAAAAAAAGAAAUCCAUUCCUGGCUGAAUAUCUCCAGGUUUAGCUUUUCUCUCUUUGAGUGGGUGUGUCUUUCUGGACAUUUAUGUCGGUUAAUUCUGCGCUUCCCCCUCCCUCCACCUGCCGCGUUUAGAUCCUUUCCUUCCUGAGAAUUGGUCACCAAUCUUUGUUCCUUGACUGCUGUUAGGCUGAGGGCUGUUGUGUGGUUGCGCUGAGCCAAUCAGCUGGCUUAGUGCUCCUCGGGGUAGGAAACCGGACUGCCUGCUGGAGAGGUUCCAGUGGUCACUGAUAAGUGGCAACAUUUUUGCACUCAAAUGGAAAGUCGUGAAAGCAGAGACAAGGCUGUCUUACAAACUGGGACACAGUCCUCUGCUUAAUCCUGGAGCAUAUGCAGUUCUUUAGGUGACCUCCAACUGAAUAAGUCAUUCUUUUCUUUUUUUCAAAUUAAUACCUCUUGUUCUAUGCUAGCUUUUCAAAAGUCUGACUUACUAGAAAUCAGGCAUAAUACUGUUCUGUAAGGCAUAUGAAAGAUGUCUGUUUCAGUAAUCUAAAUUACCUUUUCGAUGACUUUUUUAUUAAAUGAAACUUGAUACUUUAUAAUUAAACCUCUUCUUCUGGGAAAGCAAAUACAAUAAGACUACCUUAAUCUGUGAAAUGUUGAAAACUUACCUGGUUUGGUCCUUUUUCUAGAAGAGGGACAUUCGUGUGUGGCCUAGUUUACACACACAAGGCAAAGAAAGCAGUUAGUUUCUGCUGUCAUGAUACUUAUGGCAGCCAAUCUAUUAAAAACUCUUUCUGUGAAGUAACUAUUACAGAUUCACUGGGUAGCUACCUUUCAUUUCAUUUUGGUUUUGCAGGUAUAGUCUGCGAGAAAGAGAGUGCUCUUUCUCUUGGAAAAUAAAAUAUGAAAUUUGAGGGAAAUUUAUUGUGUAUGAUAUAAAGCAAUUUAACUAGGUGGGAUUUAAAAAAUUGCUUUAAAUGCUCUUCUGAUUAAGUAAUGACAUAGACUCCUGUUGAUUUUGCUAGUAUGUAAAGAAUGACUAUGAGUCGUCUUAAUGCAAAGAUUGGGUGAGGAAGGGUGAAAUAAAAAUUCCAAGCCAGAAGUUGUUACCUAAGGUGAAAAUAGGAAGGAAAAGUAAAAAAUUGUGUAAGUACAAAUUUUCUAGAAUUAGUUUAGAAGUUCGAUACUAUAUUGAAGAAGUCUGUAUAAAAUUUAGCAGCUUCAGUUGACAUUGACUUCUACACUGAGGUCCUGGGCUCAGGAACGUGGGACUAUUGUGGUAGCUUUCUCUCUGACCCACCUGCAGACCAUCCCUUCUUAUCAAUUCUGUCCUUGCCAAAUUAAUCCUCCUAAAAUGUGACUUUCGUUAUAUCAUUCUUGGGCUCAAAACUCUUCAGCAGCUGGAUAACGUCUCUACAAUAAAACCCAAAAGCCUCCACUUCCUGGCCUCUUUAUUUCCACAGAAUUUCUCUCAGUCAAACUGGCGUCCUCACUGUUCUUCAAACAUUCUUUCACCAUCCCGCAUGUGUUCCUAGUUUUCCUUUUUAUGGCAGUCCCUUCUUCUCCUUCUCUGCUUAUUGAAAUCUGACCUGUCCUCUAAAACUAGCUCAAGAAAUGAACUCAGAUGGUUCGUUAUUCUUAAGUUCUUAUUUUGCUGCCUUCUUUCUGUGCUCUUAUGUCCAGAGCUUAUUCUCCUGUCAAACGAUAAGCUUCAGAAGCCUGCCUCACACAUCUUGGAGAUUUCUGUGGCCCCUAAGUUUAACAUAGCUCGUAAAUGUCUGUAAGAUAUUCCCACAUCUAAAUUUGAAUAUGAAUAGAGAGCAGCCACGAUGUAAGUAACAAAUUGUAUGGACUAGGAUAUUCUUGGCGAGAAUGGACACACAUGAGAUCACGCAUCAGUUGUUUUCUUUACCCCAACUCCUGCUGCUCCCGAUGAACACACCUUGUCAGCGAGCCGGCCGCAAGCACAGACAGCUGCAUGGUGAGACAAGGAAACUGCAUGCAGCUUGGUGUGUGCCUCUUACAUCUGCGUAGGAAGAUUUGCUAUGAUUUUUUUUUCCUGAUAGACUUUUGGUUUGACUCUCAUUCUACCUUCUUUCUCCCUCUGUUUUCACUUUCUCUUAUGCUACUUUCAGUGAUGAACUGGAUGCUGUAGGCUAGGAAAUGUUAAUAUCAGCUUCUUUUGAAAAAUUUCUUAAGGUUGAGAAAAUUGAGAACCAUCUAUGUAUAUGUAUAACCAGUUAAAUAUAAAAAUUCUUGAAUCUCAUACUUCUUCCAAAAUAUAUUUAAAUAGAUUUGUAUGGCAGUAUAUAUAUGCAGAGGUAAGCUAGGCAAAGAGAUUUUGGGAUUAUGAUUUGUUAGAAAUUUUAGAGAGAGGCCCAUGUGACUUAAAAUACUAAAAUUUACUCUAACGAAGAAAAAGUAAUAUAAUAGAUCAGGAAAGACUUUCUAUGUUAUAGAAAAUUUUGGAAAAGAGUAAAAACUCAAGAUGGAAAGAUUGCUUGAUAGUGUAAGUGCUAAUAACAUUUUAAAAUCUUAUUAAUAUUUUUCUAUCCAUUAGUAAAUAAUAGGACAGGCUUGCGUUUUGGUUAAAAAGAUUGUUUCGUAUUCAUGUUUUCCCCAGUCGCUGGUAAGCUCUGGGAGACCACAGUGAUUUGGGGAGAAGACUUAGUAGUCUUGUGUGAUAGUCUUGUUCAGGAUAUUAUAUAUGCCUAUGAAAUAAGGUCUGUGUUUGAGCUAGUGUCGAUAGAUGAAGUAAAUAUCUUUUUCCACAUAUAACCCUUUCCCUUCACCUAACUCUGAAAAAAAAAGAAGAUUGCCUCAGGUGUACAAAUUCAGUUCCUUCAGCAUCUUCUCCAAGAGUGGGAUGCUGUAUUUCACAGAGAGCACUAGAUUGUUUCUCAGAGGCCUGGGUCUGGCUUUGCUGCCAUGAAGCUGCCCAACCUUGGAUUAGUUAAUUAAUUUUUUGGGGCCUUAAUAUCUCCAUCUCUAAAAUGAUAGGGUUGUGCUUGCCGUAUGAUCUUUAAGGCUCUUUCAGGUUCUAAAGUUGAAUGCUUUUUUAGGCUGGCUAAAAGUUGUGAAUCUUGAGUCACCUCUGGCCUGGUCUCCUGUCCUUACGUGAUUGCUGCAGUCAGGAGGCUUCUUGACUCUUUUGUGUGUAACACUUGUCGUUAUGGUAGUACUAUUAUGUUAAACUGCUCUGGCCUGCAUGAUAAUUAACUGUAGUCAUUGAGUGAGAUCUUGGUGGCCUGAGAGGGUUAAUGUACUGCCAGCUUCACAGCCUUCUCCUGUGCAUAACGUGGAAACAGGCAGAAAGCUGGAUAGUCCAAAAGUCAUUUUAUAUUUAGCUUUGGAAUUUUUUUUGUAUAUUCACUCGAAUAUGGGUGAGUCACAAAUUGACUUCAUGCAAAGUAGUAAACUUUAUUGGAGUGGAUUCUGUUGUUUGCCCCUCUUCAGUUCCUCUCUGGUCUUCCCUGCAUGCUAGGCAUAAGCCAUUUCUUCUUGACAGUAGCAGCUGAGGCAGAACUGUCCUUUCUGCGUUUUCUAGAGAAGGAUUGGUGAUGGGGGGUUGCAGGUCUUUAUAUUGCCUUUUAGAGUGUGAGUAGAUUGAGAAAGUGAAAUAUUAAGAAGGCAGGUCAAAAGGAAAGUACGAAGUAGGUAUUAAGUUGAAAAAAUGUUGGCAAAUCAAGCAGGAAUCAAUUUGGUUUGUAAACUUGUUAGGUUUGCAGUUGGGUACAUCCUUAUGAAUAAAUAAGAGCAGGCUUUAUAGGCAUUGGGAUAUACCUGAGCUUUACCACAUUGCAGGUUUGGAUAGUAAAAACAUGGCUUGUCCAUUAAUUUAGGGCUUUUUUUAAAUGCCUGUUCUACAUAUUUAGGUUUCUGGUUUCCUGCUUAGUUCGUGUAGUUAGUAGCUGAUUCUGAUUUUUUACCAUAGUACAUUUUCUAGUAUUUAUUCCGCAUGUUUAUAGUUCACUACUGGAAAAAUUCCUUCCUAACAUCUGUUCUGAAUUAGUUUCCUUUUCCAGUUAUGUUUUCCUGUUUUAUCAAUUGUAGCCAUGAGAAUAGGAAGCUAUAUUUUAAAGAUUUAUGCUAUGUAAGCUUAGUAAAAUUGCGAUAAACUACCUCGUAAUUUCUGAAAAUGAUUGUCUUAUUUUAAAUUCACAUGUCAAAUCACUAUUUUCACUUUUUUUUUAAACAAUAGAAUUAACUGGAUGCAAUUUGAAAUCCAUUUACCAUAGUUUCAUAGCAUUUUAUAAUUGUCAGUUGGCAUUUUAGUGACUUUAUAUUUCAAAAGUUUUUUGAGACAAGCCUCUAUCUCUAAAUCUUUUAAAGUGACUUUUUGUUUAAAUUAUUUUGGCCUUAUUUAUUUUGGGGGAUGAAUUUAUUGAGCACUUAAGGCAGUUCUUGGCACAGGCUGGGAGCUCUGUAAACAUUUGAUGAAUGAGUGAAAGCAGUUUUCAAGAAGCUUUAUUCAGAAUACUCCGUUUUCUUUCUUUAACCAGCCUCGUGGCCUGGUGAACUUUUCUGAGAGUUUUUCUCAGUGGUUAGACAUACGAGAGGAGUAGAGAAGGCCAGCUGUCCCCCACCGUGCUGUUGUUCCUACAUUCCCCUGUCCCACCAUUGCCCCUAAUCCCCAGAGCCUUCUGGUUGCCCGUUUUGAGGGCAGUACCCCUGAGCUACACCGCUCUGUGACGUCUGUUGUGGACUAAGAGCCAAUUCAGCUGUCCUAAGGAAUUGUACCACCUUUUGACCCCAGAUAGCCCCAAGAAUUAAUCUCUGGCUUAUCUCUUUAUUUUGAUGUGUCACUUUUGCUAUGAUACUGUCACAAGAUUGUGUUCUUCCUUCUGGUUUUCAUGUCUCUGCCCUGGGCAUAUACAACCUGUUCUAGUCGUCAGAUUUCCGACUGUAACCCUCACUUUGCUUUCCAGUUCCGGAUGCUACUAUUCACGGCCUCCAAGUGACAGCCACUUAUCUCCCAUCUGUCACUCAUAGACUGAGGGCCCAAAUGGAGACUAUAAUCUAGGAGCUUGAAUUAUAUCCACUAGCAUUUAACCUAUUAAACGUUUUAAGAUUUAACUUUUGAAAAGGUAAUGCCUUCACAUGAUUCGAGCAACAAAAUGUUUAGAAAUGAAGUUUUCCUUCCACUCUGUCCUCCAUCUACUCAAUUCCUAUCCUUCCAGAGUUUGUAAAUGCAUAUCCAAACCAAUACAGAUAUGAAUUCUGUUUUCCUUUUCCUUUUUUUGUGCGAAUGGAAGCUAAUAGGUAUUAUUCUGCCUUUUUCACUUAACAGUGUAUCUUGGAGUUUUUAACAUAACAGUGGAAAAAUAUCCAAGAUAUAUUUCACUUUAAUAAUAUAUCUUGGAGAUCUCUUCCACGUCUUUGUGUAAGUAUAGUAUCAUUUAUUUAACCAGUUCCGUAUUGAUGGACAUUUGGGCAGUUUUCACUCUUUAGCUAUUACAAACAAUGCUGCAAUAAAUAUUUUUGUUACACAGAUUAUUUCACAUUUGUGCAAAUAUAUUAGUAGGGUCAAUUCUUAAAAGUGGAAUUACUGACCACAGAGUAUAUCUCACAGUAGUUUUCUAGAUGCUACCAAAUUGCCCUCCAUAGAGGUUGCACAGUUUACACCCCCACCGGAAAUGGAUGAGUGUGCCCGAUUAUCCAUAGUCUUGCCAACAAAAUGUCUUAUUGAGCUUUUGAAUUUUUUCCAAUCUGAUAGGUGAAAAAUGUUAUCUUAGAGCAUUUUUUAUUUCUAUUUCUCUCAUGAGUGAGUUUGAAUAUCUUUUCAUAUGUUUAAAAGCCAUUGAUAUUUCCUUUUCUGUGAAGUGUCUCGUAUCCUUUGCUUAGUUUGGGGGAGGUUGUUUAAAAAUCACCUUGUAGCCCACGUUUAUAAUAUGGAGAUCUGCCUUUGGUAAUACGAGUUGCAACAUUUCGCCCCCAGUUUGUCAUUUGUCCUUCAUCUUUGCUUAUGGUGUUUUUGCUGGGUAGAUUUUUUUUAAAAUGUAGUUGAAUUUGUCCGUCUUCUCUUUUAUGACUUCUGGAUUUUGUGUCAAAGUUAGAAAAGCCUGCCCCACUAGAAGGUUAUAACAGUUCUCUCAUAUUGUCUUCUACUACAUUAUGGUUUCCAUUUUACACUUAAAUUUUUGACCCGUUUUUCUUGGUGUAUGGUGUGAGGGAUAGGUCCAGCUUUAUUUUUCCACCUGGUCACUCAGUUGCCCCAACACCAUUUGUGAGCAGUCUGUGUCUACGUUGUUUUGCUUCUUGCCAAAAACAAGACGAAUUUGAUUCAUCUACCUUUUUUCUCACCUACUUUGCUGUGACUGAAUAUAAACACAGUUCUCUGUUUUCCUGCCUGUAGAAUGCCUUUCCUUAGAGGCUAAGGUGUCUUCACCGUGUUCCCUCCCCGUUUCCCUUGGCAACACCACCGGCCUGGCAGCCAGUUAAUAUUUGAAUGAUUACCCGGUGCUCGGAGAGCUCUCCAGGAUUUCACAUUGAGCAAUAACUGGCCCAAAAGAAAUCUUAACUGUGAUCAGGUUCCCUAGAAGGCUGUUCAACCCAGAGAUGUCUUCUGGCUCCCUAUGCAUACUAACCCGCUGUCGCAGAACCCGCAGUCCACUGCCUGGGCCCUUCACUCCGAGCAGUCCAAUUCACAUUCCUUCCCUCUCUGCAAAUUCAUCUCUUCUGCCACCUCUGCUUUGUCUGACAGCGUGGGAUAUUGCCUUCUCUGAUUUGGAUUGGGAACCAUAAUGUGCCAGAAAAGUGGUUUGGAUUCCCCACGAUGCAGUGGCCAGCUCCAGAACCUCAUUUACUUGGAAAGUGAUUGUGGCUGAAUUAUUUGGGAAACAUACGUCCUCAAUUUGAACCUCAAGCAGAUUAAGUUUUUUCCUCUAGGGAACAUAGGGAAAACCCCAGCCUUAUCCUUUGUUCUACCUAGGGGAGCGUGUCCAAGCAGGCAGAUGAAACUGAAUUUACUUGAUACCCUUACUAGCACUUUCUGAGCUCCUUGGGAUAGUUUUACAGCUCCUUGAUAAAAGACUUCCUUCUCCUUUGAACCGUUGCCCCCAGUGAUCUUUCUCUUUCAGACUUUUCCCAAGCAUCGUGCCAUCUUGCCUGGUUUUUAUUAUUGAACCUUUUUGGGGGAUCCUAUUUCUUAUUUCUGCCUUCAGACUUUUCCCUGAUGGCUGGUAGUAUAUUCUUUGUCUAAUGCCAAUUUGAUUUAAAGUUAUUUUGGCCAAAACCAAUUUUGAGCAAAUACAGUUCAGUUGAAAUCAAGCUGGUCAACUGGACAAUUUGGUUAAAACAAUGAUUUGAUAAAAAAUGAAUAUCCUAAGUUACUAGUUUUUGAGUAGUGGUAGUUUUAGUAUAUUAUGGGGUCAUUAAAUACUUUUGGUUCAUUUUCUAGAGUUUUUCUCGUUUUUCUUUUAUAUUUCACAUUGAUUUUCAGCUACAAGAGCACUUUGUUGCUUGUGAUGUCAAAAAGUUAAAACCAUCUAGCUGCCCAACAAUUGGAGAAUAUUUGGACAAGCUUGAUCUUAACUACAAGGCAAUAAGAAGUUAAUUGGAACAACCAAAACAUCGAGCGAUAAGAUAAAAACAUUUUCGUUUAUUGUUUUUUUUUCCCCUCGUUAAAAAGGCAGUGCAUGUGCGGUACAGGACACUCGGAAAAAUGCAGAUAAGGAGUAGAAGGACAAAAGAAAAAAAGCCAUUAAUUCAUUCACUGAGGAAUAACCACUCUUGUCCUUCCCUGUCUUUUCAAAUGCAUUUUAUACACAUAAACUCUGCACUCUGUUUGUAAUCUGCCAUUAUUUAAGCAUUCUCCAAUUAUUGAUUAGUCACUUUUGUCCGGGAUUAGGUUUUGCUUCUUUCUGCCUUUUGUCUUGCAACUGUGGGCCAGUCUAUCUUAACUGGGAGUGGAUUGCCAUUCUCUUUUUCCUUCUGUCCCUCAAUCCAGGCUUGGUUCACGUCCAGCCUGGGCCCCAAAGACCCCACCUGCCUCCCUUAAGUGAGACAGUUUGUGGGUGAAGCCAUUCUGCCAAGCCUUUCUAUGGACUUACAAAAGGGGCCCGGUUCCAGAAUUCUAGUGGAACUCUCAAAUUAUAUGUAAAAUAAUUUUUGGAGUUCAUACUUGGUUUAUCUUAUGUGUAGAUGUAUGUAAAUUAGAUGGGGAGAGUGAAGUGAGGGUGGACAUUAGGUAGAGUCCCCACUACAGUAAAAAUAAGGAAGCCCUGCAGCAGAGGAAUCCAUUAUCAUUGGAGGGAAAUUAUUGAAAGGGAGUUUUUCUAAAUCAGAGUUGGGAAAAAUAUGCUGUGUCUUGUGCCCAAACCCAAGUCCGUGGUAGAUAUCACUAAUCAGUCGUGGCACUAUUUCUUAUUGGGUCCAAACUCAGCUUUGGAUCGUCUUUGAGAUGGGGUGCUAGGUAGCUCCAUCUGCCGGAGUUUCUGUGGCAGACAAACCUACUUACCAUUCUUACUCUAAAAUAUUGCAUUAAGGUUUUUUUUUUUUUAAAAAAAAUAGUAGAUUGAACAAGAGAGUUAUAAUAAAAUGUUUUAUCUCUGAUAAAUAAGUUUAUGAUGAUAAAUAUGAGAUGUGAGCAAAGAGUAAUUAUCUGAAUCUCAGGCAAAGCACUUGCCUCAUAGUUAAGAUCAUGGAAACAAGCAUAAUUGAAUUAUAGGUUUGUUAUGGAGUAAAAACAAUGUCACAGUAAUACUCAUCAUUCUAAAUUGCCCAUGGUCAUGGUGAUUGACUUGCCAGCAUUCAUUACACCCCAGAGGAUUAGUCUGAGCAACCAUAGUUAAUCCCAUUUCCUUUACCAGUGAAGGGUUGGGAAUGGCCUGUAAGCUAUUCUGGCCAAUGAGCUGUGAAGGGAAGUCCUAGAGGAGGGUCAGAGUGCCUCCGGGAAAGGGUUUCUUGUCCCUAAAAAGAUAUGAAAGAAAGGGGUGGUGCCUCUUCUUCCUCUGAUGAUGUUAUGUCUGAAUAUGAUGGCUAGAACUGCUCAGGCCGGCUUAAGACAGUGAGAGGAACUGGCUUUGGAUGAAGCUCAUCUAGAAGAUGGCAAAACAGAGAGAGAAGAAACCUGAGCCCUCCAUGACCUUUCUGAACUGCUGAUUGUAUUGUACUUGGUCUGCCUUACCUCCGAACUUCCAGUUCUGAGAGAUAAUACAGUUCCUUAUUGUGUAAGCCAGUGUGAUUGUCACUUGCAGCCAAAAGCAUUCUGAGUGGUAUAUACACUUUGUCCCAAGGAGGGUCACAUCAGAUGGUUUUGAUUUUAUUCUGAAGAUUUAUCGGGGUCCUUCCCUCCCCUGUUUCCUGGCUUCAUAAAGUGGGUGCAUGUUCUAAUUGGCCACUUCUUGUCUCAGUCUUCUCCAGGGCGCUCUGCCUUAGACUAGAGUUCUUCACAGAAAGCAGCAAGGAACCGGCCAGCACCCACCAUCUCUUCUGGAGCCUUUUGGAUUGUUUGAAUGUCUGGUGGUGUGACUGCUCUUGUUUGUUGUUCAUCCUUCUGAUUGUGAUUCUGAUUCUGAUUUCUUGCUUUCGUCCUGGUCCAUGCUCUUGCAUAUUUUGCAUCUUAAGUCUGGCCUCAAGAUUGUUUAAUAGAUUUAUUUCCCUCUUUUCCUUCUCUCCUCUGCUCCUCUUUCCUUUCUCUCUCGCACUCACUCCUUCCAUACUUUGUGACUUUACUUAGGGUCAGUGGGGACAAUUCUAAGCAGAUGUAUGUGAUCUUUGCCAGAAGUAAUGAGUUAAGUUAAAUGAGUAGUCAGACAGUUAUUUGCUCUAGACUGGUGUGGUAAAGAGGAAGAGUAGGUGAGCACUUGGCCAUUUUCUCAUGGCGUAGAGUAAGUAGCACCAGAAAUGACCUAGGGGUCGGGGCACUUGAGUCUUCAUUAUGGCUUCACUGUUUGCUACCUGAAAUCUUGGGCAAGUCACUUAAAGACAUUGAGUUUCUUCUUUGAAAUUUGUUACUAGUUCUGGGCUGAUUUUUUGGCAUAGUGUUGUUAUGAUUCAGAUGAAACUCUAUGAACAUGGGAAAUGAAAAAACUUUGGGGAAAAAAGAAUACUCAAGCUUGGUUGGAUUUUCUGGUUAUUUUCUGGUGAACUAAUGUCAAAGUGUCUAGAAUCAGGUCUGUGUAGCUUGUAAGUCUGUUUGUAAAAAGGCAAUGGAGUAUGAUGUGGGAUAUAUUAAUAAAAGUAAUUAGGGAUUGAAGCUAAAAUCUUUGUGGCAACUUACAGCCUGGAAUAAAAAGAAAGGGCCACACAACAUGAAGGGGAACUAAAGGUCAGGAUGUUGAUCUUGAGGCUUAUUUCUAGUUCAACCAGAAAUUCUGGUGAGCCAAGAUAGGGGAAAGAGAAACCAACAGAAGAAACACCCCCUCUAGUGGCGAGGGGCCAGAUUCUACGCUAGAUUGUGACGAUGGGUGAGUGGGGAGGGGAUGACUUCCUAGGAUGUUUCAGGUUCUGAAGAAGAAUUCUGAAGAUCUAGAGUUAGACUCUUAGGGAAGAUCUUUAGCUCCAGCUUUCUUUAUCUAGAGAGUCAGCACAUUUCAAGAAUAAGUAGUACCUUGGCACUCUUGUGUGGGGUCGAUUGUCUGAAAAACGUAGAGGCUGCAGUUGUUGGAAGAGGUUCAGGGUUCACUUUCUUGUAGGCCAUUUAUUUAGAGAUCAUGAAAUUAGGAGGCCACUGUGGCUAAGCUUUUUAUUGAUCUGAGAUGAUACAGUAGGUACCUUUAUAAACCCAUUUGUAGGGGGAUAAAGCUUAUAUUUAAAGUUAUGGAUAAUGCCAUAGAGUAGUAUUUGUCUAUAUUCAUAUAAAAUAAUGGCUGUGGAUUUCCUAAGUAUGAUUUUUGAUUUGAAAAUUUUAGUGGUGAUCCCAAGAAUCAAACGUUUAAUUUGCAUCUCAGAAGUGAUUUAAUUGCUAUCUAUGGGAAGGUAGUGAAGUUAAGCAUAUUAAAAUGACAUAUUACCCACAGUUCAGUGGCUUGGUAGGAAUACCUAAUGCAUUCUUGAAGGACACCUUGUCUUAAGGAUGUGUAUUGUUGAUGAUGAUAAUUGCAAGUGAUUUUUACAUUUAUAAAUCUCAGUCCAUUGAAGUUUUUACCAUUUCAACUUCUAUUUAGGAAUAAUUCUUUUAAGUUUACUUAAAGAACUCUGAAGAGGCAAAAUUUCAGAGAAUAAAGUCUUUAUGGUGCUCUGUGUUAGAUCUAAGGAAGAUUUGAAUGCCAUUCAGCUCCAGUAUAGAAAAGAAUGAUUAAGGCAUGAGAAAAUAAAUUUUGGUACAAGACUGCAUUACCAAAGUGCCAUUUCAUUAUUUUUAAUGUCAAACUUCCUCGCCCUGAAGGAAAGAAAUUUGAACCUUGCAGUAGAAUCAGCCUCUCAAUAAUUUGGAAUUUGUUUGGUGAUGUUUCUUGUGAAAUAAAAAUGGAAAAAUUCUCUGGAAAAUACAAAAUAGUCUAAAAAGUACCAUGGAUAAAGUGAGAUUAUAGAGUUAUGAAAUUAACUUUUGUCCAUAACUUGUGGAACUAAUAUCCUUAGUUUAUGGUUAUACUUCAUAAAUAUACUUGACUUCAGGAAAGAAGAACUAAGUCUGGCAGUAGAUCAGGAUCCGUGUAUUGUGGAAAACCAGAAACAAGAGGAAGAGGGUAUUAAUGGUUCAUUCUUAGCUGACAAAAAUUCAGUAUGUAAUAAUUAAGAUCAGUUAGAGAAAGAAUUACGAUUGUGUUAAGUGAGUGUGCAGAUGUUGUUGAAGGCCAGUCAGUUAGAACUGAUGUGUUAAUAUAUGUGGGGCAAUAAACCAAUCAGAUGGUCUCUGCUAAAUUAGGGUGACAGGAGUGGAAGAUGUCUGAAGGAGGUGAGAUAGAUGAUGAGGUUAGUGGUAAUCAGACCUUCUUCCUUAAAUCCCAGCGCUAAAGAGGUACUCUGUACAUUAGUGAUAGCUUAAUUCUAUAGAUAAAAUUUGGUGUUAGAAAUUGCUAGAAUGUUGGCAUUGCUGAGAUUAGGCAAGUAUUGAUUUGCCUGAAGGGUUGCAUCAAGUGGGCUUGAAUAAAGAGCCCAGGUUCCACAAUACACCGCUUUUGAAAUUGCAGAUAAAGUCUAAUAAUUCAUAUUUGUAUAGAAUUUUACAGUAUUGUAAGUGUUUUCACACAUAUGGUCUCAUUUGAUUCUUAUCAGAAUCCUGGGGCAUAGGAGCACAGAUUUGAUUACCCCAGUUUUACACAUAAGACAGUGGAGACUCAGGGAGGCUAACAGACUUACUAAGAGCAAAUAGGGACUAACUGACGGAGUGGGCCUUGAACCCAGGACUCCUUAGGAAAAUGCCUUCGUUCACUGUGUUGGUUUCCCAUGGUUGCUGUAACAAAUUAGCACAAACUAGGUGGCUCAAAACAACAGAAAUGCAUUCUCUCUCAGUUCUGGAGGUCACAGUCCAAAGUCCAGGUGUGGGCUGUGCUGCACUCCCUCUGAGGCUCCCGGAGGGAAUCAGUUCUUUGCCCCUUUUACUUCCUGAUAGCUGCUGGCAUGCCAUGACUUGUGGUUGCCUCACGCCCAUCUCUGCCUCUGUGUUCAUGUAGCCGCCUCCUUUUUCCCGUGUCUUUUCCUCUUCUGUCUGUCUCUGACCUCUCUUUGCGUUUCUCCUAUAAGGACUGACUUUGACUCUACUUGUCGUUGGAUAUCGAGGGCACACCUCGAUAAACCAGGGUGACUUCCUCAUCUUGAGAUCCUUAAUUACAUCUGCGAAGACCCGUUAUUCAAAUAAGACGCUGCAAUAGACUGACUGUUUGUGUCCCUCUGAAGUCCGUGUAUUGAAAUCUUAACCCCCAGUGUGAUGGAGAAGUCAGCAGUGAACCUGGAAGAGGGUCCUCGUGGGACGCUGAGUCCACCAGUGCCUUGGUCUGGGACUGAUCGCCUCCAGAACUGAUGGAGAGCAGUGAGACCCUGGGAUGGUCUUUCAGUCAGGUCUCCUGUCUUUCUUCUCUGAAAUGGCUGGUGUCGUCGAAGUUUUAAGACAGUUCCCGUACACUGAGGAAAACCAUAUUAAAAGAUUUCAAGAGCAUUUCCUCAUUUCAGCAGGUGUGCCUCAAGGACUGAGAGUUCCCUGUGGUUUCACGCUGCUGAUGUAGGCUGUCGUCAAGUUCUCUGCUUCACUGCAUCCUUCUAUUCUUAGAGGCCAUCCAAUCCAGGCCUGUUGGCAGAAGGGUAUAUGGAAUCAACAAAAUGAAAAGGCAACCUGUGGAAUGGGAGAAAAUAUUUGCAAACCAUAUAUCUGAUAAGGGGUUAUUACCCAAAAUAUAUAAGGAACUCUUACAACUCAAUAGUGAAAAAACCAAGUAAUCAUUACAAAAUGGUCUAAGGACCUGAAUAGACAUUUUUCCCAAGAAGACAUACAAAUGGCCAACAGGUACAUGAAAAAGUGCUCAAUGUCACUAAUCAUCAGGGAAAUGCAAAUCAAAAUCACAAUGAGAUAUCACCUCACAGCUGUUAGGAUGGCUCUUUUCAAAAAGUCAAAAGAUAACAAGUGUUGGCGACUGCAUGGAGAAAAGGGAACCCUUAUGCACUGUUGGUGGGAAGGUAAAUUGGUGCAGCCACUCUGAAAAACAGUAUGGAAGUUCCUCAAAAAAUUAGAAAUAGAACUACCAUAUGACCCAGCAAUCCCACUUCUGGGAAUAUAACCAAAGGAAAUGAAAUCAGGAUCUUGAAGAGGUACCUGUACUCCCAUGUUCAUUGCGGCACUGCGCACAAUAGCCAAGAUAUGGAAAUGACCUAAAUGUUCGUUGACUGAUGAAUGGAUAAAGAAAAUGUGAUAUAUAUAGAAUGGAAUACUAUGCAGCCUUAAGAAAGAAGGAAAUCCUGUCAUUUGUGACAAUAUGCAUGAACCUAGAGGACAUCAUGCUAAGUGAAAUAAGCCAGACACAGACAGACAAAUAUUGCAUGAUCUCACUUAUAUGUGGAAUCUAAAAAACAAACAAACAAGCACAAAAAACUGAUCUCAUAGUAACAGAGAGUAGGAUGGUAGUUACCAGAGGCUGGGGUGGAAGGGGGAAGGAGAGAUAAAAAAAUGAGAAAAGAAGGUAAAAUAGUGGUUGCCAAGGGCUGGGGCAGGAGGUCAUGGCAAGUUAUUGUUUAAUGAGGACAGAGUUUUAGUUUUGCAAGACGAAAAGAGUUCUGGAGAUGAAUGGUGGUGAUAGUUGCACAAUAAUAUGAAUGUACUUAAUACCACUGAACUGUGUACUUAAAAAUGGUUAAGAUAAUAAAUUUUAUGUCAUGUGUAUUUUACCACAAUAAAACAAUUGAAAAAAAAUUGGAAAAAAGAUACAUUGAAACAUUAAAAAAAGUAAAAAAUUAAAUUAAGGGGGCAGAUAAUGCAGAGAUUUAACAGGUAGCCAUGAGAUCAUGGUGGAAAAUGGUUUGGUGGCUCCUCAAAAAGUUAAACAUAGAAUUACCAUAUGAUCCAGCAAUUCCUCUCCUAGAUGUGUACUGGAAAUAAUUAAAAACAGGGACUCGAACAGGCAUGUGUACACUAAAGUUCAUAGCAGCAUUAUUUACAUAGCCAAGAGGUGGAAACAGCCCAAGUGCUCAUCAACAGAUGAAUAGAUAAACAAAAUGUGACAUAUGCAUACGAUGGAGAAUGUUAUUUAGCUAUAAAAAGGAAUGAAAUUCUGACACAUGCUACAACGUGGAUGAACCUAGAAAACAUUAUGUUGAAGUGAAAUAAGCCAGACACAAAGGACGGUUAAUAUGAUCCCACGUAUAUAAGGUUGGUAGAAUUGGCAAAUUCAUAGAGAGAAAAAGUAGACUAGAGCUUACCAGGGGCUCGGGGGAGAGGAGAAGGGGGCGUUAUUGCUUAUUGGGUGGAGUUUCUGUUUGGGAUGAUGAAAAAAUUCUGGAAAUAGUGUUGAUGGUUGCAUAACAUUGUGAAUGUACUUAAUUCUGCUGAAUUGUACACUUAAAAAUGGUUAAAUGGUAAAUUUUGUUAUGUAUAUUUUACCACAAUAAAAAUUUUUUUAAAAGAUGUACCAAUCUUACUUUUAAAACUCUUUUAUGACUUUUAAGUUGACUUCUAUGAUGUCUUUCCAAUGUACAUUUUUUAAGUAUAAUUCUUUAUAUUUUCCUCUAGGCAUUAUAAAGUUCAAUUUUUGCAUAUAACUCUGUUAUUCAUCUGAAAUUUGUUCAUGAGAUACAGAUACAAAUUUAUCACAGCAUCAUUUAUUGUGUAUUCUCUUCACUAAUUGGUGAUCUUUCUUUAUCAUAUGUUAAACUUAUGUAUAAUAAGCCCUAUUUAUGUGUGAAUUCUGUUAUUGAUUUCAAGACUAUCACAGAGAUUUUUGCCUCAUAGUGCUUUUGGGUAUGAAAAUGUGGAUACCGAGCUUCUGGCUGUGUAUUUACCUAAGGCAUCUCUUUUGGGUGUCAUGGUUAUCCCAUGUUAGUAUAAACUCAGGAUUUUCGGAAUGUAAUUAUCAAGUGAUGCUAUAAGUCAUUUGAAUUUAUUUAUAAAUAUUAGUUUUUCCACAUAUGACCAAAGUUCAACACCAGUGAUGUUGACAAGAAACAAUGCAUAUUACGUUCAGUUUCAUUAGCAGGGAGAGGUGAAUUAAAGAAGAAAAUCUGCUUCUAUAUCAUUUGUAGAGCCAUUAGUUGUUAUUAUGUCAUAUUUGUUCUUAUAAGUAAUGCCCUUCUACACUAUCAUUCCAACUGGGCUGGUAGCAGUUAAUUCAGCAAAUUUAAUUUUCCAAGUGAGAAAAGUUGCCUUUGCAUCAAGCUCAUAAAUAUAAUGCCUGGUGGUGGAUAUAAUUCUUCCAUUAUCAGCCUCGUUUAUCACGCCAAGUCAUGUGGCAGAACUGUGAGACUGAACAUGGCAGAAACUGGUAAAGAUUCCUCUUGCUUCAUUUCACUAAUGGAUUUUAUUUCUUCACUUUAACAACAAUAUAUCCAUCUACACAUAGGACUGUAUUUAGAGGGUAUUUGUUUUCAAUAUGAAGCUGCCUCAAAUCUUUUUAGAGUACUUUAAUCAGACUCAUUCUCUACAUGUUGUUUACAAGUGACCUUGUCCAUUUGAGUAUGCUGGUCUCUGGGCAAAGGUCCUGCUUGCUCAGUGAUACUGCAUCUGAGUUUUGUAACUAUUAGAGCAUGCUGGGGGUGGGGGUUGCAGGGGGAGGACGGACACCAGGACUAUCAUGUCUUUCUUGGGAUUUGGCCUCCUAGCCAAUUUCUACUUCCAUUUGGAUUCUUGUUCUCUUACAACUAAGGGAUCCAAAGAAACGCAGUCACUCUAUUUAUUGCUACUGAGUAGAACAUCAAAACUUAGUUGAUUAUUUCUUAAAUUUGUCUGAGCUUCCUUAAGUUCCUAGCAUGGCGUGCGCUUAUUUUUCUGGACUUGACCAACUGACCAAACCAUGGUACCUCCUCUUUUAUUCUAGUUAAAGAGGCAGAAUACCAGACAGAGGCAGGAAUAUCACUCCCAGUGGGUUAGGAAAUCUGGAUGAGGCUUGAUUCAUGGCUUCUGUGGAGGGAAGGAUGUUUUAUUGGAGUCAGUGCUUGCAGAUUUGCUGAGGUUACAGGAAAAGCAACAGAAGGUUUCUGUGGCAAGUGGCAGGUUUUUAUGGAGUUUAGGAAUCAGACAGAAUUGGUAGUUGAGAGAUUGCUGCUUGAGUGUUCAGGGAUUUAAGGAGAAAUAGGCACAUAUUUCUGGAGCUUGGGCUAUUUCCUAGGAUUCAUGGAGAAGAGAGGUUUUAAAACUAUCUAGAUAUCACAGGUUUCUUUCAUAGGUUCUGGACAGGAUGGAGGAGACAGAUAGAACCUGUUGCAUAGCCUAAUGACAUCGGGAUGAGCAGUAGUGUCCAAGCAACCCGGGAAGAAUGGUUCCCAGCCCCUGGAGAUGGAGCUGUGAUUGGGCUCCUAGACUCUGGUAAAGAAAUGGCCAGAAAGGAGGGGAAGCAAGUAAUAAGAGGGCUGGAGGCAGCUGAAGCAUCAUUUCGUAAGUUCAGAUAUAUUCAGUUACAUUCGAUCUGGUAAAGGAGAGGUAUUUUUCCCCUCCUUUUUUAAGGGCUUACUCAGCACUUUUAUUUGAUUGGAAGAGUGACCAGUUGAGGCUGAGGGGAUCAGGCCUCAAUAGUGUCAAAUCCCAACAGAGAAGCAGUAGGGUUGGGAACCAGGGUUAGAGACUGGAGAAUAAAAGGCUUGAAGUAGUAAGGAUUCCAGUAUUUAGCUUGAAAAGGGACAACCAGAUGGCAGAGUCAAGCAAAGUUGUGCCUAAUGGGCAUCGGGGAAUAGCAAUAAGAAGGCAGAGCUUUGGGAGACAGGAAUCCUGUUCAAGAUUUUAAUUUUAGAAGAAAGGAAUAGUAUGUAUUAAAUAACAUAUAAUUCCAAAGAUUCCUCUGCUAGAUAGUUUGAAAUAAAAUUUGGUCUCUAAAAAUCUUAAGUAUUAAUAAUACAGUUGAAAAGCUAGAAAUAAAUACAAUAUCACAAUAUAUUUGUGGAUAUUCCUUGCAAAAAUUUCUCAAAUUAUAAGUGUGUAUGUAUGUACUUAAGACAAAAUAUCUAUUGCCUAUCUAUCUAGCUAUCCAUCUCUCUCUCUCUCUCUCUCUCUAUCUAUAAUUCAGAAUUAGCUUGAUAACUUUCCUGAUUGUGUGCUUUUAUUUUUGGCUUUGCUACUUGCAAUAAAUGACUCAGAAACAGAAGUGAAAAAUCAUUUUACAGUUUGACUAGAGAGUUUUUUCUGUUCAGGUUGUUGUAAUUCUUACAUAAUACAGAUAUAAACCUUUGAAUGUUUAUUAGAUGUGUGGUGCUAGGUUUCUGCGUAAAACAACAAUACCAGCCCCCUAACUUCCAUGCCUCUGUAAUUAUGUGUAAACUUGUUUAAGAUCAUCAAGUACAAUGAUUCAUCACUCCAAGGUGCUCUGCUAAAGGCUACAUUGUUAGAAGACUAUUGUUCCCAACUGAAUAUAUUUAUUUUGAGCUUUGGUUAAUUUUUUUAUUUUUAACGUAAGCUCCAGAUCUCUAUCUAUACUCAUUAUGUAAGAAAUAAUAAAUACUUGAAGGCAGUUAUCUACUUUUAAAAGUUUACUUCUUUUUUUUUAAAAAAAGGGGCUCACCUUUAUUCAGUAUCUACAAAAUACUCAAAAUAUACACAAGUUCCAUAUUAUGACAAAUUGGGAGCCGUCUUUGAUUCCUGUCUCUCCUUUAUCCCACACAUCUAAGGAAUCACAAAUUCCUGCAGACUCUGCCUACAAGUAUCUCACAAUUUUUCCAUUUCUUUUUUCACCCCCACUGCCGUCAUAGUCUGGGUCACAUCGUCUUUCACUUUAAAAGCCCCCUAAUUGGUCUGCCUUCCUGUCGUGUUGCUCCCUUCUGUCCAUCUUCCACUCUACAGCCAGAGUGACCCUUCUAAAUGUAAAAUGGUCAUGCCCCCAUGACUCCUGUUAUUAAAAGUUUACUUCUUAUUGAUAAAAACAGAAGGCUAGUGCAUUAUUGGGAAUGUCUGUUUAGAUGUAUUGCUACUGUUGUCAGCAGCAUCAUAAGUAUCAUCAUCAUCAUCAUCAUCAUCAUCAUCUGUUAAUAUUGGUUGCUAACCAUUUAGGUCAGGGAUUAUUGUAAGUUCCAAUAGCAUUUACAAAUAGUAUAUGUCAAAUAACAGAGUCCUUGGAAAAAAGAGAGAAAAAUGAGUACUGGUCAAAAUUUGAAGCAGUUUCUAACUUUCAAAUGGGUUGGUGGCCAAAUUUUGUUUGUAAGGUACUUUGUUUGAACUUGGAGCCCUUUUUAUUGGUUAAUUCGUAAACAAUGUUAUAUAUGGAGUAUAUGUACCCAGUUUUGCUCUCAAAAACCCACUCAAGAGUUGAAACUCUAUGUGUUUAACACUAUUAUAGAGUUAUUUGAAUGUAGGUCUAUUGGUAAAAAUUUAUCAAGAUUCAACACAGAGCCUUCCAUUAGAGUUGGUGGAGAGUGAUUCUUUUCUUUCUGCUGUCUUCACCUACACCACCAAGGAAGUUAUGAAGACAUAUUUGUGCCCUCUGCUGUGGUUUGAAUUUUGUCCCCCCAAAACAUAUGUUGAAUUCCUAACCCCAUGUACUUGUGAAUGUGACCUUAUUUAGAAAGAGAGACUUUGCAGAUGUAAUCAAUUUAAGAUGAGGUCAUCUUGAAUUAGGAUGGGGUCUAGUCCAAUGACUGGUGUCCUUAUACAAAGAGGGAGAUUUGGGCACAGAGACAGGAAGAAUGCUGUGUGACAGUGGAAGCAGAAAUAGGAGUGAUGCACCUACAAGCCAUGGAAUGCCAAGGAUUGCCAGCAACCACUAGACACUAGGAAGAAGCAAGGAAAGAGUCUUGCCUAGAGCCUUCAGAGUGCUCAUGGUCCUGCUGACACCUUGAUUUUGGACUUCUAACCUCCAGAACUGUUGUUUGAAGCCAUUCAAGUUUGUGGUAAUUUGUUACUGCAGCCCCAGGAAACUAGUAACACCUUUUAAAGAAACAAAACUUGGCCAUUAGAAAUUUCUCAUGUGUCUGUCUGCUCCAUAAUAACUCUGAGAAUGGACUUAUUACUAAAACAAAACGUGGCAUGUGUCACGGACUAAAUGUUCCUGUCUCCCUCAAACUCACGUGUUGAAAUUGUAAGCUCCAAUGUGAUGGAAUGAGGAGGUGGGGCCUUUGGGAGGUAAUUAGGUCAUGAGGAUGGAGCCCUCAUGAAUAGGAUUAAUGCCCUUAUUGAGGGACCCCAGGGAGCUCGCUUGCUGUCUUUCCACCGUGACAGGAUACAUGAGAAGAUGGCUGGCUGUGAACCAGGAAGCUGGCCCCCACCAGUCAGCAAAUCUGCCAGCGUGCCUUCUUCUUGGACUUCUCAGCCUCCAGAAUUGUGAGAAAUAAAUGUUUGUUGUUUUAGCCACCCA